CACCGUACCUUAGGUGUCCGCAUCUACCGUGAGAGAUUAAACACCAGCGACACCGAGAUACGGAACGCGCGUGAAUCUUUCUUUCUCUCUUUUCUUUUCCCAACUUCUUUUUAACUGUAAUGUUUGUCGCCGGAGAUCGAUAGAUCUUCGUUCAACGAAGAAAUAUCGAGUUCGCGGAGUUUGUCGCGUUUCCUAGUUCCUUCGGGGUGGUUGUUUUUCUCGUGUUUGUAUGUACGUGUUGCAAAAAGUUCGAUGCGAAAUGGAGAAUGAUGUCACUCGACAUUUUUCACCGUCCAACGAAAUGCGAAAUUUAUCGGUAGUAAAGGUGCGUUCUGAACUCGCUUUUACAAUCCAAAAGUAAAUAACGACAAAAUGAAUCGAACGGUAGGAAUGUGGAAGAUGUUAUCAUUAUUAUCGAUAGGUGUUAUUAGUACGUCUUUAUUACAUUGCAGUAGUUAUAUAAAGAACGUAAUCUUCGUGCACCUUGGAACAUGUACAUAUUUAUAUUAUCUAUAUGCUUUAAAUCUUAUUUUAUUAUCGCUUUAUUACUCUUACUUACUUUAUGUAUUCUAUAAUUAUCAUAAUAUUAAUACUAAAUUAGUAUGUAUAACAAUCAUUGGUCUAUAAUCAUGAAAUCAAAGCAGGAAACUGCGGUCGACUACAUAAUAUUCCUGUUUCUCGUGACCAAAGAAAAUUCCAGUCAUAUAGAAAAUUAAUAAAAGUAUAUCAACGUAGAUGCAUUAUUAGUCACGUAAACAUGAAAAUACAUACGAAUAACGAACAAGUACUUGCGAAAGUAGCUUAUAAAAUUUAGGAUAGUGUACAAACGACGAAUAAUUAAACUUGCUUAAUCGAAAUCUUUGAUACAAUCGUAUCGGAAAAUAAAUACAAGAUUCUACAACCACUCUGAACAAAAGUAACACAGUUCUAAUAAAUUUAUCGCGUUCCGCGGUUCUACCAGAGAAAACUAGGAAAGCAGUACUGACGGUGGAACGUACCGAACGAAAUUUCCACUCGCGACUGCUCGCAGUGUAAUAACGCGACGUUCUAUAUCUAAAAAGCAUAUAACCGGCUGAAAGUUGCGUUAAAAUUUCCAAAUAAGGUUUGUUGUUAAACGGUUUCAACGAGUAACAGGUGCACAACCUACAUUCGCGGUAUUUACGCUGCGCUGGCCUCCAGAAAUCUCUGUUGGAAAAUGACACAUAGCGGAUUAUGCGUGAUGAUAUUUACGCUCUCGUAACUUUGUAACAUCAAUCUGGUCGAAUAAAAAAGAAUUUCACGCUUCUCGUUCAACGAUUUUAAGGGCGAGAUCGAGUCGAGAUUGGUAGAAAAUACUAAACCCGGUCCUACGAAAACUCUCGAUUAUCUGGUGAUAUCUGACGUUCGCGAUGACACACAUACUUACGUCUCCGGAUGCUUGUGAUUUAAAUGGAUCAAUGAGAUGCGCUUGGCGAAACGGCAGGAGCCAAGCUUUUCUCAUUUCUGCACCAUGGACGUUGGCAUUGCGACCAAGACGACGCGAGGGUGCAUUUAGGAUUGGCACAUCGCCAACAGGUCCUUCGGGAGAUUUGCACUAUACGCUAUAUCUAUACGUAUGUAUCUGUACACGUAAUAUCGUCAUCGCCAUAUACGUAAAUCCGAAAACGUUAAGCCGUUUGUCGAGAGACCAGGUAUGUACGUUUCGUUUGAUUUCCAUCGAACGUAUGAUAAAAAGGAAAAGGAACGAAAUAGUCGGUAGAACAUCCAGUCGCGCAUUAAACCGCACAGCGUGUGGAAAUAGCGAUUAGCGAUAAAAGUGGGAAAUAACGAGGCAAGGAAAAUCGUCAUUAAGCUCGACGGAGAUAAGAUAGGAAUGUUAAUUUCGGCUAUAGUGAAACAGGGGAUUAGCUGAAAAUAUGAGAAUGGACGAUGGUAGUCGUGGAAAUAAAAAUGUUUACUUUCAGAAAAAAAAACAUAUACAUAUAUAUCUGUACAGGUGUAAUCGAUCAAGCAAACGUGAAAGAGAGAAGUAGGUCACGAACGUACGCUCGUCAAGUUACGCUUCUUCCGUGAAUCUUCAACUUCUUUUUAGUAGCAACUUUUCGACUACGGUUGAGAGCGAGAUUUAUUAAUGGACAUAUCCAACGAUGAUUAAUGUCUGUUUGAAAGUUACGACAUUAAGGUAUCGUUGUACGUAUGUACACGUAUGUAUCGAUGAGUAAAUAAAACAAACUAAUUUACAAGGAAGGAA
Bombus terrestris (buff-tailed bumblebee) is the source of this 2230-nucleotide long non-coding RNA. RefSeq lists it as uncharacterized. The transcript has 2 exons. The record is from RefSeq and is a predicted model, not a curated record. Lineage: Eukaryota; Metazoa; Arthropoda; Insecta; Hymenoptera; Apidae.